UCCAAGUGAAGCAGAGGACAGUGGCGGACGGGUGAGUAACGCGUGAGCAACCUGCCCUCCACAGGGGGAUAACGCACCGAAAGGUGCACUAAUACCGCAUAAGACCACGUUUCUGACAUGGGAAUGAGGUCAAAGGAGCAAUCCGGAUAAAGAUGGGCUCGCGUCCGAUUAGCUAGUUGGUGAGAUAACAGCCCACCAAGGCGACGAUCCAUAGCCGACCUGAGAGGGUGACCGGCCACAUUGGAACUGAGACACGGUCCAAACUCC
This 267-nucleotide ribosomal RNA is filed under the name uncultured Bacillota bacterium. Its description in RNAcentral is "uncultured Firmicutes bacterium partial 16S ribosomal RNA". It matches the Rfam family "Bacterial small subunit ribosomal RNA", at positions 76 to 339 of the family's 1533-position model. The record is from RNAcentral. Lineage: Bacteria; Bacillati; Bacillota.